GAAAUGCGAUAAGUAAUGUGAAUUGCAGAAUUCAGUGAAUCAUCGAAUCUUUGAACGCACAUUGCGCCCGCCAGAAUUCUGGCGGGCAUGCCUGUUCGAGCGUCAUUUCAACCCUCGAGCUCCCCUUUCGGGGGGAGCCCGGCGUUGGGGACCCGGCGCUAACAACGCCGGCCCCGAAAUGGAGUGGCGGCCCGUCCGCGGCGACCUCUGCGUAGUAACAACCACUCGCACCGGGACCCGGGCGCGGCCACGCCGUAGAACACCCCACCUUCCGAAUGUUGACCUCGAAUCAGGUAGGAAUACCCGCUGAACUUAAGC
This 318-nucleotide unclassified non-coding RNA is filed under the name plant metagenome. Its description in RNAcentral is "partial contains 5.8S ribosomal RNA, internal transcribed spacer 2, and large subunit ribosomal RNA". The stretch from base 1 to 105 matches the Rfam family "5.8S ribosomal RNA", at positions 50 to 154 of the family's 154-position model. The record is from RNAcentral.